GUGGUCGUGGUGAAAUGGGAACACGGCGGACUGUGACUCCGUCAUGAGAGGGUUCGAUCCCCUCCGGUCACCCCA
RNAcentral lists this transfer RNA (75 nucleotides) under marine sediment metagenome. Its description in RNAcentral is "tRNA-His". It matches the Rfam family "tRNA". From Rfam's summary of the family: Transfer RNA (tRNA) molecules are approximately 80 nucleotides in length. Their secondary structure includes four short double-helical elements and three loops (D, anti-codon, and T loops). The record is from RNAcentral.